UCACCAUAAAGAGUACGUGAGGGACAAGCCCGUUGACCGUACAGCAACCUGCAAAAAUGUAAGGUGCUAAAGCUUGAACGAUGGGACGUGAAUUAUGUUUA
Molecule: non-coding RNA, 101 nt
Filed under: Ruminococcus flavefaciens
Lineage: Bacteria; Bacillati; Bacillota; Clostridia; Eubacteriales; Oscillospiraceae
Also listed under: 1 other name
Description: SAM-I sequence
Rfam family: SAM riboswitch aptamer (S box leader)
About the family: The SAM riboswitch is found upstream of a number of genes which code for proteins involved in methionine or cysteine biosynthesis in Gram-positive bacteria. The SAM riboswitch acts at the level of transcription termination control. The predicted structure consists of a complex stem-loop region followed by a single stem loop terminator region.
Source: RNAcentral